Molecule: long non-coding RNA, 914 nt
Organism: Arabidopsis lyrata subsp. lyrata
Lineage: Eukaryota; Viridiplantae; Streptophyta; Magnoliopsida; Brassicales; Brassicaceae
Exons: 6
Source: RefSeq, a predicted model, not a curated record
UACCCAAAUUUUAAUAUAGUGGGCCAUAACUCAAUCGGAAAUUAUUUGUAUUUGGGCCGAAAUAUAUAUAGACCCAAAUCAUAAUACUAUUGCAAUGGAUCCAUUUAUUCGUUUGUUUGUUUGGAUUAAAUAUAGAGAUAAAUAUAUGACUCAUUUUUUUUUUUUCGUUACGGACAGAUAGUUGCAAAAGAAAAAACAAUUUUUUUCUUAUGGGUGAUAAAAAACAACAUCCUACAAAUCUCAGGCGAUUGUUCGUUCUAAGAAUCAAUCCCAAAAUUGUCUAAUAAUCGAUCUAUUACGUCUCCGUUUACCUCUUUUCAUGUCAAAUUCAUAAAAGAGUUCAGAUAAUGGUUUGCCCGACGAUGUUGCCAAAAGAAGAUGAUUCUGAAGAAGAUAAGAUUUACUUAUUAUGAAGAAGAGAGGUUCAAUGUCAUCUUUUGAGCUAUUCAAAAUACUUAAGCAAUAUUAAAGGCAAGCAUAAUCUCGGAGUUACAUUCACAUGGAGGAGGCUUCUAUUGAUUUUGGCUGUGGAGAAGUUAACACAGCCUUAUAUAAUGUUAAAGGCUUGAUGUUAGCAAGAUCGGUGAAUGCUAGUGGUGCAGCUGCCAUUUUCUUGGAAGGAACGGGAAGAGAAUAGCUGAUUGCUUUAAAAGAUCUCAAUCCUAAAUUCGAGAGCAUCAUAAAGGCCCUAAUAGGUGAAGCCCAAUAUGAUUAUUACGGAUACAAAUUCACAAUACGCAGGACCCACGUGCUUUACCGACUAUGGUUGGAUAUAGGUCCGACCCUUAGACCUGAGAUCCGCGUGUAAGUGUCAAGAAAAUUCUCAAUUUCACCCCUCUACGAUUUUUUUUAUUUAGUUGUAGAAUCAAAAAUUUGUAAUGGCAUUUCUUUGUAAUUCUUUACACUUUAUAAGG